RNAcentral lists this ribosomal RNA (510 nucleotides) under Triticum aestivum (bread wheat). RNAcentral's name for it is "partial small subunit ribosomal RNA". Lineage: Eukaryota; Viridiplantae; Streptophyta; Magnoliopsida; Poales; Poaceae. The record is from RNAcentral.
AUGAUAACACUAUGGUAUUGUCGGGGUCGUGCUGCAGGAUGUUCUGGGCAGUCCGGGGCAUGCUGUUGCUGCUCGUGCAGCAGAACGACAGCCACAUCGGCGCGUCCUGGGACAGCUCUUCGUCCACUUCCACGGCCCCUCGGCAUCGCCUUUAAGUUCGCCGAGAUGGACUACGUUGCCAAAGUUAAUGAUUUACUGGAGAUAUCCAAGACGAUUUCAACAUUACCCUUCAUGGUUGAGCUUGACAUUCAAAAAGACAGUGUCAGGCAGCCGAGGAGCCAUACGUGGAACCUACUGAGGGUUAAGCGUGGGACUGAUAUAGUGAAAGUUCUGUUUGAGUAGAUAUUGGUCACAGAAGGCAACUCCAUGAAGGACGCAGCAUCCAAGGCUUAUGCUCAGGUGUUUGCUCCUCACCAUGGCUGGGCCAUAAGGAAAGCAGUAUGUGCUAGAAUGUACGCCCUUCCUUCUAACUCGCGGCUCUUGAAGAAACUAAAUGAAGAUGAACACUGA